Molecule: ribosomal RNA, 624 nt
Filed under: uncultured bacterium
Lineage: Bacteria
Description: bacterial SSU rRNA
Rfam family: Bacterial small subunit ribosomal RNA
Source: RNAcentral
GAUAACCUUGCGAAAGUAAGACUAAUACCCAAUGACGUCUCUAGAAGACAUCUGAAAGGGAUUAAAGAUUUAUCGGUGAUGGAUGGGGAUGCGUCUGAUUAGCUUGUUGGCGGGGUAACGGCCCACCAAGGCAACGAUCAGUAGGGGUUCUGAGAGGAAGGUCCCCCACAUUGGAACUGAGACACGGUCCAAACUCCUACGGGAAGCAGCAGUGAGGAAUAUUGGUCAAUGGACGAGAGUCUGAACCAGCCAAGUAGCGUGCAGGAUGACGGCCCUAUGGGUUGUAAACUGCUUUUAUAAGGGAAUAAAGUGAGUCUCGUGAGACUUUUUGCAUGUACCUUAUGAAUAAGGACCGGCUAAUUCCGUGCCAGCAGCCGCGGUAAUACGGAAGGUCCGGGCGUUAUCCGGAUUUAUUGGGUUUAAAGGGAGCGUAGGCCGGAGAUUAAGCGUGUUGUGAAAUGUAGACGCUCAACGUCUGCACUGCAGCGCGAACUGGUUUCCUUGAGUACGCACAAAGUGGGCGGAAUUCGUGGUGUAGCGGUGAAAUGCUUAGAUAUCACGAAGAACUCCGAUUGCGAAGGCAGCUCACUGGAGCGCAACUGACGCUGAAGCUCGAAAGUGCGG